UCCAUGACCAAUUUUUCAUACACAAACGCUAAUUUCAAAUCUUAAAUCUAAAUUUUUAGAUCUAAAUUCUUUACAUAAAAAAUAUGUUUGGAUCUCAAAAUAAUUUCAGAUCAUACAUAUAAACAUAUAUCAUAUACAUGAAUAAGUUCAGAUCAUAGAAAUAAAUUUUAGUCCUUAAUAUGCUUUUAUAUAUCAUAUA
Molecule: long non-coding RNA, 199 nt
Filed under: Elaeis guineensis (African oil palm)
Lineage: Eukaryota; Viridiplantae; Streptophyta; Magnoliopsida; Arecales; Arecaceae
Description: long non-coding RNA (EGUI_LNC040954)
Source: RNAcentral